Molecule: transfer RNA, 94 nt
Filed under: marine sediment metagenome
Rfam family: tRNA
About the family: Transfer RNA (tRNA) molecules are approximately 80 nucleotides in length. Their secondary structure includes four short double-helical elements and three loops (D, anti-codon, and T loops).
Source: RNAcentral
AGCCCGGUGGUGUAGCGGCCAAGCAUGGCGGGCUCUGGAUCCAAACUCCCGGAGGAGAACCCCGCCGACGGGAGUUCGAAUCUCCCCCGGGCUA